UGAGAAGAGUUGGAACACCUGUAGGAAUUAAUAGCACCAUUUUCAAGGCUUGAUCAACCUUCAUUGCUGCAGACCAGCUUUAAAUGUGUUAACCCAUUUUGUGUUCCCUGAAAAAGGCCUUUUUAUAUAAUUCUAAAGUGUACAUUAUUAUUCAGUUUUGGGUAACCUUACCUUGUUUUUACCUCUGGCAGUUCACCACUUACCUUUGUACUAUUUCAAGGUAUUCAUUGGACUUGGACAUCUUGAAUGGCAAUAAAUAACUGGAACAGAUUGGUGUAUUCUAAAACUUUUGGACAUAUCCUACUUCCUUUCUUAAACUUAUUCACUAUAGGGAGAUGAGUCCUGCAACUUAUUUUACUGAAGGUAUAUGUAAUGAAAGUUAUGAAGCAGUUUCUCUACUAUGUAAAAAAGUGUAAUUUAUGAAGAGGCAUUUCCAGGUUUUUAUGCACCCAUAGCAUGAGGUGUGAAUGUGUUUUUUCUCUCUCUUUAAGAGCACUAAAUAUAUAACUAUAUAAUAUAACACUGAGUGGUUUAACAAUUUAUAAAGACAAUGAAAUGCUACUGAAAUGCACACUAGAGGUAUUCACUCAUAAUAAUCAAAUGAACUUGUGGGUCUGUGUUUCCUUGCAUGUUGCCACUUCUUCAGAAUGUCUUCCUGUUUAACAACCAUCAGAAGGUUGGAUAAGAAACACUGAGAGCAGCAUCAGUAAGAACAGCACUAUAUCUAUCAGGGUCAGUACUGCAGAACGGUUAGAGUACAGUUUAAACUCCUGCUCAGCGUCUCAGUCCUCUCAAGAUGUCCUCAGAUAUUUAUGCAGAACCAGAUCUAUUAAAGAAGGUGAGAUACAGCAGAAAGGAGGACAGAGCAGAGUGGGAGCAGAGGGACCAACUUUUCCACAGUUAAGUUAAUACAACCACAACCACGGGUCUAUUAAACACAGAGUGACAGGAAAUAAGCACAAACCAACAUCCACACUGCUUUCUAACAGGACCACAGACUCAGAGUCCUCCUUCAGUCCAGAAGGGCUCUUUCAGAUGUGCUACACUGGCUCUAAGAGUGCUGUGCCUCCUGAUGUUAGCUGGGAUCAUCAUCCUGUCCAUAUGCUGUAAGAUAAGAUACAACCUCUGAACUUCUCCUGCAAAUGAAUGUAUGACUGAUACUGAAUCCCAGCAGCCAACAAACAUGCAGCUUCACAACCAGGACGUGUCCUUCUGCCACAGCAAAUACAGGAAGUACAUGAAGCCAACACAGAAGCACCAAAAACUGCAGUUCCUUUAAUGACCACUGGAGGCUGAUGCUGAAAGCGAGUCAGUCCCCACAGACUCCCAUGUUAAAAUGAGCACCUUUGCUGCAUUAAAAACAUGUUUCCAUUCAGGACUAAAUGAGUUUUGGUCUCUAAGGAUAGUUUCCCUCUUCAUAAAAACUGUACGGUGGCAUUUUAAAUUCUCUGAUCAAUAAUAUGAGCUGCUGUGUGGUACAGCCUGACCAACAAGUUUGUUUUGCUGACUGAGCUUCUAGUAUUUCAUGAGGCUGUUACUUAGCACUGAUUAGCAGGUGUGUGUCUGUGUGCAUGAUUCCUGGCUCAUAUCUUGUGUGUGUUGUGGAGGUGGAGUGAAUGUUCUUGUUGUUCCUUCAAACUCUUCACUCAACACGGUGAUUCUGUGAUUAUAUCAACAAAGCAGACAGGCAGCAGCAUCUGCUGCAGACUGAUACAGGUGCAGUCACACUACGUUAGACAGUGGCCGUCUAUGUAAGGUAUUUUAGUGACUUUGGAAAAGCAGCAGCUGCAGGAAGAAGUGAAGGAGCUGAAGGACAAGAUGGAAGAGAAGUGUCGUGAAGGAUGGAUGAGAUUUGGAUGCAGCUGUUACUUUAAAUCCACUGAGAGGAAAACUUGGUCUGAGAGCAGGAGAGACUGUCAGGAUAAAGGAGCUGAUCUGGUGAUGAUAAACAGCAAAGAGGAACAGAUAUUUGUUAACAAACUGGGAGGAGAGUCCUGGAUUGGUCUGUAUUUUAAAAGGACAUCUUCAGGAGGAUAUGAAUGGGAAUGGGUGGACGGAUCAGCGCUGACACAAACGUUCUGGGCAGAAGGAUGGUCCCAUCGCAAUGGCUGGUAUUAUGCAGCAUGUUGUGACUAUAAUGGGAGAUGGAAAGAAUAUUAUUCUGGAUUAAUGACCUUCAUCUGUGAGAAAUGAGUUU
Oreochromis niloticus (Nile tilapia) is the source of this 2197-nucleotide RNA transcript. It is a transcript of the gene named CD209 antigen-like protein D, with no coding region annotated. The transcript has 5 exons. The record is from RefSeq and is a predicted model, not a curated record. Lineage: Eukaryota; Metazoa; Chordata; Actinopteri; Cichliformes; Cichlidae.